UCAACGUAUGCCAGGACAUGUAUCUUAUGUGCUGAAAUGUAAUCAAUUUGUGCGUUCUUCGCGGCUAAGUAUCCCUUCCUCUACCAUGUUUGAGAUGUUAACCUGAUUUAUUUGCAAGGAAUAGCAAGUUGUAAUGGUCAUCUGAGCGACCGAGUAGCUGUGUUUUAUGUUCUCAUUAGCUCCCAGUAGAUGCUGCUGGGUAAUGUUGUUGUACAAUUUUUUUGAACAUGAACAUCUGAUGCCGUCGUAACUAUCAUGGGAUGUAUAUCUUGGCUAUAUUUUACUCCCUCCGUUUCUAAAUAUUUAUCUUUUUAGAGAUUUCAAAUGGACUACCACAUAUGGAUGUAUAUAGACAUAUUUUAAGAGUGUAGAUUCACUCAUUUUGCUCCGUAUGUCACUUGUUGAAAUCUCUGGAAAGACAAAUAUUUAUGAAUCGAGUGAGUACAACUUAUUUACGGAGACUAUAUUUUACAUUUUU
RNAcentral lists this long non-coding RNA (478 nucleotides) under Triticum aestivum (bread wheat). Its description in RNAcentral is "long non-coding RNA (TAES_LNC005696)". Lineage: Eukaryota; Viridiplantae; Streptophyta; Magnoliopsida; Poales; Poaceae. The record is from RNAcentral.